GGCUCAGUAGUACAAUGGUAAAAGCGCUCGUCACAGAAUCAGAGAGUCCUAGGUUCGAUCCCCAACAGAGUCG
This 73-nucleotide transfer RNA is filed under the name Schistosoma japonicum. RNAcentral describes it as "tRNA-Leu". The record is from RNAcentral. Lineage: Eukaryota; Metazoa; Platyhelminthes; Trematoda; Strigeidida; Schistosomatidae.